RNAcentral lists this long non-coding RNA (564 nucleotides) under Mus spicilegus (steppe mouse). Its description in RNAcentral is "lncRNA (ENSMSIG00000017974.1)". Lineage: Eukaryota; Metazoa; Chordata; Mammalia; Rodentia; Muridae. The record is from RNAcentral.
ACCAAGAGGAGUUGCUUUGUGCCUUUUCAUGAUUUCUAUCCAAGUUGAGCAAAGGAACUCUCAGCAGAUGGAUAAUACAGGAAACUAAGAAGAGAAAGAGGAAGUUCCUCAACUGAAGAGAACUCUGCACCAUGUGACUCUAUAAAUAAGUGUGAAGAGUACAGCUGGAUAAGGUCGAGCAAAGGAGAGGAACUUUCUGUAGACUACUUAGGAAAACCACAGAAGAAAAAUGGCAGAUUCAUGAGAACCUCAUGGAUUUCCCCCAGAAAUGCCCUCUGAUGGCUCAUUCCAGGGAAUUGAUAAAGCUGAAAUCAAAGGAUCUACUAACGUCUACAAGACCAAAACAAAAACAAAACAAAGGACUUCAACAAAAAAAUACUACAUAGCAACAGGAGUUGAAUCUGCUGUUUGCAUCACAGAGUGCCAGAACUAAGCUGAGCAUGGUGAUCUGGGACUGUGAAAGCAAGUGGAGCUCAACACCAUCCUGGGCUGCCAGGAAUUGGUGAGGCCAACUAAUCUCCAUGAGACACUAUCACAAAAUUAAACAGAUAAGAAAAAUAUGGG